UACGGAGGAUCCGAGCGUUAUCCGGAUUUAUUGGGUUUAAAGGGUGCGUAGGCGGCCUAUUAAGUCAGGGGUGAAAGACGGUAGCUUAACUAUCGCAGUGCCUUUGAUACUGAUAGGCUUGAAUGUACUUGAGGUAGGCGGAAUGUGACAAGUAGCGGUGAAAUGCAUAGAUAUGUCACAGAACACCAAUUGCGAAGGCAGCUUACUAUGGUUUUAUUGACACUGAGGCACGAAAGCGUGGGGAUCAAACAGG
This 253-nucleotide ribosomal RNA is filed under the name uncultured bacterium. RNAcentral's name for it is "partial 16S ribosomal RNA". It matches the Rfam family "Bacterial small subunit ribosomal RNA", at positions 524 to 776 of the family's 1533-position model. The record is from RNAcentral.